Fopius arisanus is the source of this 421-nucleotide long non-coding RNA. RefSeq lists it as uncharacterized. NCBI's taxonomy places the organism in Eukaryota, Metazoa, Arthropoda, Insecta, Hymenoptera, Braconidae. The transcript has 2 exons. The record is from RefSeq and is a predicted model, not a curated record.
CACCGUCCGAGCGCACAGACCACCGCGCGCAGUCUCAAUUUGACGAAAUACGAUAAUUGCGAAAAUUCUUAACCUAAUAAAUAAUUCUCUCUUUCAAAAAACAGUGCAAUCACGUAAAAUCCAAUAGUCAGUGAAAAAUAAUUGAUUGAAGAUAAUUUAGCGUGUGGAUUUUGCUCUUGACCAUCAAAAACACUUCGAUUGGAUCUCUGAAACGGGAAUGGGAGUAUCAGAUACAUUGAAAUCAUCUGGAAGAACACGUGUUGCUCCAAAUUAUUUCUCGACCUAAUGUUCUAUGUCAUUGGAUUGGGACUCGGUGAUGCGACCGACGUCACUGUGAAGGGGUUAGAAAUAAUAAAGAGAUGUGAGAGAGUUUUUUUGGAGUCAUACACCUCGAUAUUGACAGUUGGAGCUGAUGCUUUGG